GUGAAUCAUCGAAUUUUUGAACGCAAAUUGCACUCUCUUCGGUGAGUAUGCCUGUUUGAGGGUCAGCCUAAAAUAAAAUCUACAUAGUCGCUGUUUCGUGGUGACCUUCGUCGGAAAUUCGGUUAUCUUCAACCUUUGUGCUUUAAGCGGCCUAAAAUUUUCUUUACGAUUCCACGAAAGUUUCUAAGAUUUACUUCUUACACGUUUACGGUAAUUGAUCUUUAUUAGACGUGGCCGUUUCAUCGGAUG
Molecule: unclassified non-coding RNA, 249 nt
Filed under: Glomus sp.
Lineage: Eukaryota; Fungi; Glomeromycota; Glomeromycetes; Glomerales; Glomeraceae
Description: partial contains 5.8S ribosomal RNA and internal transcribed spacer 2
Rfam family: 5.8S ribosomal RNA (bases 1-65)
Source: RNAcentral